GGGGUGGCCAGCGCCCGCCAGAGGACCAUCAAACUCCAGUCAGUAAACGAUGCAGUCUGAAAAACAUUUAAUAAACUAAAACUUUCAACAACGGAUCUCUUGGUUCUGGCAUCGAUGAAGAACGCAGCGAAAUGCGAUAAGUAAUGUGAAUUGCAGAAUUCAGUGAAUCAUCGAAUCUUUGAACGCACAUUGCGCCCUUUGGUAUUCCGAAGGGCAUGCCUGUUCGAGCGUCAUUACAACCCUCAAGCUCUGCUUGGUAUUGGGCACCGUCCUUUGCGGGCGCGCCUCAAAGACCUCGGCGGUGGCGUCUUGCCUCAAGCGUAGUAGAACAUACAUCUCGCUUCGGAGCGCAGGGCGUCGCCCGCCGGACGAACCUUCUGAACUUUUCUCAAGGUUGACCU
RNAcentral lists this ribosomal RNA (401 nucleotides) under Botryosphaeria dothidea. RNAcentral's name for it is "eukaryotic LSU rRNA". The stretch from base 80 to 233 matches the Rfam family "5.8S ribosomal RNA". The record is from RNAcentral. Lineage: Eukaryota; Fungi; Ascomycota; Dothideomycetes; Botryosphaeriales; Botryosphaeriaceae.